AGUGAACGCUGGCGGUAGGCCUAACACAUGCAAGUCGAACGGCAGCACAGUAAGAGCUUGCUCUUACGGGUGGCGAGUGGCGGACGGGUGAGGAAUACAUCGGAAUCUACUUUUUCGUGGGGGAUAACGUAGGGAAACUUACGCUAAUACCGCAUACGACCUACGGGUGAAAGCAGGGGAUCUUCGGACCUUGCGCGAUUGAAUGAGCCGAUGUCGGAUUAGCUAGUUGGCGGGGUAAAGGCCCACCAAGGCGACGAUCCGUAGCUGGUCUGAGAGGAUGAUCAGCCACACUGGAACUGAGACACGGUCCAGACUCCUAAGGGAGGCAGCAGUGGGGAAUAUUGGACAAUGGGCGAAAGCCUGAACAAGCCAUACCGCGUGGGUGAAGAAGGCCUUCGGGUUGUAAAGCCCUUUUGUUGGGAAAGAAAAGCAGCAGGUUAAUACCCCGCUGUUCUGACGGUACCCAAAGAAUAAGCACCGGCUAACUUAGUG
RNAcentral lists this ribosomal RNA (492 nucleotides) under uncultured bacterium. RNAcentral describes it as "partial 16S ribosomal RNA". It matches the Rfam family "Bacterial small subunit ribosomal RNA", at positions 29 to 507 of the family's 1533-position model. The record is from RNAcentral.